This 280-nucleotide ribosomal RNA is filed under the name uncultured archaeon. Its description in RNAcentral is "partial 16S rRNA". It matches the Rfam family "Archaeal small subunit ribosomal RNA", at positions 1047 to 1325 of the family's 1478-position model. The record is from RNAcentral.
GAGACCCACACACUUAGUUGCCAUCAAAAGCCUUCGGGUUUGUUGGGAACGCUAAGUGGACUGCCAUCGUACAGGUGGAGGAAGGAGUGGGCCACGGCAGGUCAGUAUGCCCCUAAUCCCCCGGGCCACACGCGGGCUGCAAUGGUAUGGACAAUGAGUUGCAACUCUGAAAAGAGAAGCCAAUCUCGAAACCAUAUCUCAGUUGGAAUUGUCGGCUGUAACCCGCCGACAUGAACGUGGAAUCCCUAGUAAUCGUGUGUCAACAUCGCACGGUGAAUAC